RNAcentral lists this ribosomal RNA (360 nucleotides) under uncultured bacterium. Its description in RNAcentral is "bacterial SSU rRNA". It matches the Rfam family "Bacterial small subunit ribosomal RNA", at positions 152 to 507 of the family's 1533-position model. The record is from RNAcentral.
CGAAAGUUACGCUAAUACCGCAUAUUCUGUGAGCAGGAAAGCAGGGGAUCGCAAGACCUUGCGCUGAUUGAGCGGCCGAUAUCAGAUUAGCUAGUUGGUGAGGUAAAGGCUCACCAAGGCGACGAUCUGUAGCGGGUCUGAGAGGAUGAUCCGCCACACUGGAACUGAGACACGGUCCAGACUCCUACGGGAGGCAGCAGUGGGGAAUUUUGGACAAUGGGGGCAACCCUGAUCCAGCCAUGCCGCGUGAGUGAAGAAGGCCUUCGGGUUGUAAAGCUCUUUCGGCCGGGAAGAAAUCGUAUGGGCUAAUACCCUGUGCGGAUGACGGUACCGGCAUAAGAAGCACCGGCUAACUACGUG